Molecule: long non-coding RNA, 385 nt
Filed under: Physcomitrium patens
Lineage: Eukaryota; Viridiplantae; Streptophyta; Bryopsida; Funariales; Funariaceae
Description: long non-coding RNA (PPAT_LNC011479)
Source: RNAcentral
GAUUGAGAUUCCUCUUUCAAUGUAUACUCAAUCACUGAGUUUACAUAAUUGGAACAUAAUAGUGAAGCAAAAUUCUCCGCUUUCUACUUAGCUUUUAUUUCUACAUGUAUCCUAAUGGCCACAUAAGCUGCCCAAUUGUAUACCAAACCUUCCAGUAUUCCUAUUAUCAAAAACAGUAAUCGCUUUGCCAUAUAGGUGAUAUGCCGAUUCAAUGCUAACCGCUUCUGAAUGAAUCGCAUCCAUUCUAUAAGUUCGCGCGUAAGUACCUCCUGUACCUUCUAUCCUUGAUUUUGCUCAAGAGAUGACAUCCCUCCUUUGAAGUAGCUUCCUAGCCUGAAAUCAUUUGACACGUCUCCUCUUACCUCAAGCUCUCUGGUUGAUAAAU